RNAcentral lists this long non-coding RNA (954 nucleotides) under Homo sapiens (human). RNAcentral describes it as "HSALNT0073065". Lineage: Eukaryota; Metazoa; Chordata; Mammalia; Primates; Hominidae. The record is from RNAcentral.
AUACAUAUGUAACUAACCUGCACAUUGUGCACAUGUACCCUAAAACUUAAAGUAUAAUAAUAAUAAAAUAAAAUAAAAGAAUUCAUAAGGAAUUCAAAAUAAAUAAAUAAAUAACUUACAAGGAAUGCAAAAUAAAGCAUUCAAAUAUUUCCCUGUGCAAAAGUAUUUAAAUAAUAAAGAGUUUGCAAAUUUAAAUAAUUCACAUACAUAAUUAUUAUGUAUUAGCCACAUCUAGGAUUUUGGUGGAGGAACAACAUGUAAAACUUUUAUGUUGUUUUCAUAUUUCAACUGAUAAUCUUUCAAUAUCAAAUUAACAAUAAAUAAAAACAUCUACACUAAGAAGAGAAUAAAAAGGCUGGUAAAUACAAUCAUAAUAAGUGCUAUGAAAAACAUUCAGGAUCUUUUUAAUCCAAGUUGAAAAUAUCUAAUUAAUUUUUGUUUUGCAAAUCUCCCCGAAUAAUAUACCUCAUAAAUUAAAUUCUUAAUUCAUUUAUUACUAAUAUAAUCUAUUUGAAGGCAGGCUGAGAUCCUAAUAUAUUUCAACAACACAUACUUUGGCAUAUUUAAGGAUGCCGAUAGAUAUUACUAUUAGCUCAAAAUGUACAAAGACUGGCUACACUGUCUUGUUUGGAAUAAACAUUAUAUCCCUGUGUCUUUUUAAUAAAUACAUUGGGUUUUUAUUUCAUUUUGUUUGUUGGUUUAUUUGUUGUCACUGUGAUUGUCCUUGUUUUGAGAAAUUAUAUGGAAGAAACAAGGGUGGUAACAGUAAGCAAAAUUGGAGAAGGGAGAUUCAUUCGAGAAAUAUUUCAGAGAUGACAAAAUCAAAGCUGCUGAGAGUAUGUAAAUAUGUACCUAAACCUCAGAGCAGAAGAAAACCAUUAAAGAGGUACUUAGCUUAUCUCUUAGGCUAGCACUACAACAAAUGUAAAAUAUAUUAAUUUUUAAAUUUGAGUU